CCGCCAUCAAAAGGUUCGCCGCCAUCAACGGUUCGCCGCCAUCGACAGUCGACAACGGAGCUUAUUCUCAGCAUCAAUAUCCACGGGCUCACUGAAAUCGGAACUUGGGUCCAACCUCUCGGCCGUUCACUGCCCUGUUCAUCCAACGUCCACCGCCAUCAAAAGGUUCGCCGCCAUUUAUGCUUGUUUAAUUUUUUGUAUUUUUUUGCUUGUUUAAUUUUUUGCUUGUUUAAUUUUUUGCUUGUUAAUUUUUUGCUUGUUAAUUUUAUGAUACAUUUAUGCUUGUUUUAUUUCUUUGCUCAACCCGUUCCCAUCAUAGAUUUUUUUUUCAAGACCGUCACAGUUUCCUUGCAUUUUGACAUUGCACCUGCUGGUGCACUUGGCAAGUGCACCAGCAGGUGCAUUUUCACAUUGCACCUGCUGGUGCACUUGCCAAGUGCACCAGCAGGUGCACAAUUGGAAAUGCACCUGCUGGUGCACUUCCAAGUGCACCAGCAGGUGCACAAUUUAAAUUGCACCUGCUGGUGCACUUGCCAAGUGCACCAGCAGGUGCACAAUUGUAAAUGCACCUGCUGGUGCACUUGCCAAGUGCACCAGCAGGUGCACAAUUGGAAAUGCACCUGCUGGUGCACUUCCAAGUGCACCAGCAGGUGCACAAUUGGAAAUGCACCUGCUGGUGCACUUCGCAAGUGCACCAGCAGGUGCAUUUUCACAUUGCACCAGCACAUUUGGCCUAGCUACUAGCUAGGUCACUUUAUGUUUAUAUAUUCUUUGCAUAGAGAGACUAAUCUAAGGCCAUUUGAUCAAUGCUUUGCAAAGAUGAAAGAAAUUAUUUAAUUUGGAUCUAGAUUAUAUUCUCCAUCCUUAAUUUUUGGCUUUUGUACAUAGAAAAAUGAGUGGAGAAUGAAGUUUAUAAUCAUUUCCUUAAGAAAAUGCUGCAUUUUUCUUGUAUAAAAUAUGAGCAUGAUAGUCAUGUGAAAGGGAGUUUUUCUUUGAUUCAUCACUAUUGAGUAGUGAUAUAGAAUGCACAUGCUGGUGCACUUGAAAUGUGCACCGGCAGGUGCAUUUUCACAUUGCACCUGCUGGUGCACUUGCCAAGUGCACUAGCAGGUGCAUUUACAAUUGUGCACCAGCUGGUGCACUUGGCAAGUGCACCAGCAGGUGCAAUGGGAAAAUGCACCUGCUGGUGCACUUGCCAAGUGCACUAGCAGGUGCACAUUUCAAGUGCACCAGCAGGUGCACUUGGACAAGUGCACUUGCUGGUGCACUUGUGCACCAGCUGGUGCACUUGUGCACCAGCUGGUGCACUUGUGCACCUGCUGGUGCACUUG
Molecule: long non-coding RNA, 1331 nt
Filed under: Manihot esculenta (cassava)
Lineage: Eukaryota; Viridiplantae; Streptophyta; Magnoliopsida; Malpighiales; Euphorbiaceae
Description: long non-coding RNA (MESC_LNC003675)
Source: RNAcentral